RNAcentral lists this ribosomal RNA (253 nucleotides) under uncultured bacterium. RNAcentral describes it as "partial 16S ribosomal RNA". It matches the Rfam family "Bacterial small subunit ribosomal RNA", at positions 524 to 776 of the family's 1533-position model. The record is from RNAcentral.
UACGAAGGGUGCAAACGUUAUUCGGAAUUACUGGGCGUAAAGCGUGCGCAGGCGGUUUGUUAAGACAGGUGUGAAAUCCCCGGGCUUAACCUGGGAAUUGCGCUUGUAACUGGCAGGCUAGAGUGUGGCAGAGGGGGGUGGAAUUCCACGUGUAGCAGUGAAAUGCGUAGAUAUGUGGAGGAACACCGAUGGCGAAGGCAGCCCCCUGGGUUAACACUGACGCUCAUGCACGAAAGCGUGGGGAGCAAACAGG